RNAcentral lists this ribosomal RNA (105 nucleotides) under uncultured bacterium. Its description in RNAcentral is "partial 16S ribosomal RNA". The record is from RNAcentral.
CAACGCCGCGUGAAGGGACUGAAGGGCCUUCGGGUCGUAAACCUCGUUUUCUCAGGGAAGAUAACUGUACGGUACCUGAGGAAGAAGCCACCGGCUAACUCGUGC